This is a long non-coding RNA of Vicia villosa (hairy vetch), 812 nucleotides long. RefSeq lists it as uncharacterized. The transcript has 3 exons. Lineage: Eukaryota; Viridiplantae; Streptophyta; Magnoliopsida; Fabales; Fabaceae. The record is from RefSeq and is a predicted model, not a curated record.
GUAUCAGCUUCAGUUGGACUUAAACUCCCUCAUCUCUCAUCUCAAACUUUCUCUCUCACCGGCGCCGCGCCAAUCCUUCCCCUCUUCUCCGAUCCAAAAUUCACAGCGCCGCCGUAACAAAUCCGACUACCUCUCCCCUCCGCCUCUAAUCUCUCAUCUCAAACCUCAGCUUCGCUUCUUCGAAUCUCAUCUCUAUUUCCUCACAUCUAGCCUAAUAGUGAAACCCUAAAACUUCCGAAGCUGAAUUAAAUGGUGAAGACGAAGCUAUAGGCCACGAGACCUUAGGGGAAAAACUCAGUGACGUCUACUACAUACGACAGUAACAAGAAGUACGCGAGAGACGAAGAAGUGAUGGAUUCUUAGCACUUACCUGUGGUGAAGGUCGCAAACGACCGAAAUGGAGGCUUGGCGAAAUAAACGCGGUCACGUCACCGAUCCAGGUUUGGAAAGUGUAUGUUGGACUGUUCCUUUGGAUUGGAUAAACAAGUGCAGGGCUGGUGUGACUGUGUUGAGCUAGCGUGUAAUGACUUUGACGUCGUACUUGGCGUGCCAAAGCGUGAAUGUUGCAGCAGGCUUUGUGAACAAUAGCAUGUCGGUUUUUUCUAUUGAAGCUUUAAUUGCAAAGGCUAGCUGUUGGAAAAUUAUGCAGAGUUUGGGGGUUGAGGAGGCAUGGAGUUUAGGACAUUGUUUCUUCUAUUUUUUAGACAUUAGGAUGAGUUUUGCUGCAAGUUUCAUGUAAUGACAAUGAUGCACUUGAAUUAUAAUGUGUCUUUGACUUGGAGUGUAAUGAAAAUAUAGGAUCCCUCUUUAAA